This 867-nucleotide ribosomal RNA is filed under the name uncultured bacterium. Its description in RNAcentral is "bacterial SSU rRNA". It matches the Rfam family "Bacterial small subunit ribosomal RNA", at positions 95 to 952 of the family's 1533-position model. The record is from RNAcentral.
GUGGCGAACGGGUGAGUAACACGUAGGGAACCUGCCUGCAUGAGCGGGAGAACUUCUGGAAACGGAAGCUGAUACCGGAUGAGCAAAGAGGAGGCAUCUUCUUUUUGGAAAAGGGGACAAGAGUCCCGCAUGCAGAUGGACCUGCGGUGCAUUAGCUGGUUGGAGAGGUAACGGCUCACCAAGGCGACGAUGCAUAGCCGGCCUGAGAGGGCGGACGGCCACACUGGGACUGAGACACGGCCCAGACUCCUGCGGGAGGCAGCAGUAGGGAAUUUUCGUCAAUGGGGGGAACCCUGAACGAGCAAUGCCGCGUGAGCGAGGAAGGUCUUCGGAUCGUAAAGCUCUGUUGCCGGGGACAAAAGGCAGAAAGAGUGGAAAGCUUUCUGAGUGAUGGUACCCGGCGAGGAAGUCACGGCUAACUACGUGCCAGCAGCCGCGGUAAUACGUAGGUGGCGAGCGUUAUCCGGAAUGAUUGGGCGUAAAGGGUGCGCAGGCGGCCGGGCAAGUCCGCAGUAAAAACUGGAGGCUCAACCUUCAGGGGCUGCGGAAACUGUCCGGCUGGAGAGCAGGAGAGGACGGUGGAACUCCAUGUGUAGCGGUAAAAUGCGUAGAUAUAUGGAAGAACACCGGUGGCGAAGGCGGCCGUCUGGCCUGCAUCUGACGCUGAGGCACGAAAGCGUGGGGAGCAAAUAGGAUUAGAUACCCUAGUAGUCCACGCUGUAAACGAUGAGGACCAAGUGUUGGAGGUAAAACUUCAGUGCUGCAGUCAACGCAGUGAGUCCUCCGCCUGGGGAGUAUGCACGCAAGUGUGAAACUCAAAGGAAUUGACGGGGGCCCGCACAAGCGGUGGAGUAUGUGGUUUAAUUC